GGGGAAUAUUGGACAAUGGGCGCAAGCCUGAUCCAGCCAUGCCGCGUGAGUGAUGACGGCCCUAGGGUUGUAAAGCUCUUUUACCCGGGAAGAUAAUGACGGUACCGGGAGAAUAAGCCCCGGCUAACUUCGUGCCAGCAGCCGCGGUAAUACGAAGGGGGCUAGCGUUGUUCGGAAUCACUGGGCGUAAAGCGCACGUAGGCGGAUCUUUAAGUCAGGGGUGAAAUCCCGGGGCUCAACCCCGGAACUGCCUUUGAUACUGGAGAUCUCGAGUUCGGGAGAGGUGAGUGGAACUGCGAGUGUAGAGGUGAAAUUCGUAGAUAUUCGCAAGAACACCAGUGGCGAAGGCGGCUCACUGGCCCGAUACUGACGCUGAGGUGCGAAAGCGUGGGGAGCAAAC
RNAcentral lists this ribosomal RNA (400 nucleotides) under uncultured bacterium. Its description in RNAcentral is "bacterial SSU rRNA". It matches the Rfam family "Bacterial small subunit ribosomal RNA", at positions 356 to 773 of the family's 1533-position model. The record is from RNAcentral.